UGAUAAUGUCCCAGUGACAGUGCCUGUGG
Molecule: non-coding RNA, 29 nt
Filed under: Homo sapiens (human)
Lineage: Eukaryota; Metazoa; Chordata; Mammalia; Primates; Hominidae
Source: RNAcentral